GACGAACGCUGGCGGCGUGCCUAACACAUGCAAGUCGAGCGGGGAGGAGGAAGCUUGCUUCCGAAUCCUAGCGGCGGACGGGUGAGUAACGCGUGAGCAACCUGCCUUGAACUGGGGGAUAACGCAUCGAAAGAUGUGCUAAUACCGCGUAAGACCACAGUACCGCAUGGUACAGGGGUCAAAGGAGCAAUCCGGUUUAAGAUGGGCUCGCGUCCGAUUAGCUAGUUGGUGAGAUAACAGCCCACCAAGGCAACGAUCGGUAGCCGACCUGAGAGGGGUGAUCGGCCACAUUGGAACUGAGACACGGUCCAG
RNAcentral lists this ribosomal RNA (312 nucleotides) under uncultured bacterium. Its description in RNAcentral is "bacterial SSU rRNA". It matches the Rfam family "Bacterial small subunit ribosomal RNA", at positions 28 to 334 of the family's 1533-position model. The record is from RNAcentral.